GAUGAACGCUGGCGGCGUGCCUAAUACAUGCAAGUCGAGCGAACAGAUGAGGAGCUUGCCCCUCUGACGUUAGCGGCGGACGGGUGAGUAACACGUGGAUAACCUACCUAUAAGACUGGGAUAACUACGGGAAACCGGAGCUAAUACCGGAUAAUAUAUUGAACCGCAUGGUUCAAUAGUGAAAGACGGUUUUGCUGUCACUUAUAGAUGGAUCCGCGCCGCAUUAGCUAGUUGGUAAGGUAACGGCUUACCAAGGCAACGAUGCGUAGCCGACCUGAGAGGGUGAUCGGCCACACUGGAACUGAGACACGGUCCAGACUCCUACGGGAGGCAGCAGUAGGGAAUCUUCCGCAAAGGGCGAAAGCCUGACGGAGCAACGCCGCGUGAGUGAUGAAGGUCUUCGGAUCGUAAAACUCUGUUAUUAGGGAAGAACAAAUGUGUAAGUAACUAUGCACGUCUUGACGGUACCUAAUCAGAAAGCCACGGCUAACUACGUG
This 497-nucleotide ribosomal RNA is filed under the name uncultured bacterium. RNAcentral describes it as "partial 16S ribosomal RNA". It matches the Rfam family "Bacterial small subunit ribosomal RNA", at positions 28 to 507 of the family's 1533-position model. The record is from RNAcentral.